This is a long non-coding RNA of Suncus etruscus (white-toothed pygmy shrew), 321 nucleotides long. RefSeq lists it as uncharacterized. The transcript is spliced from 3 exons. Lineage: Eukaryota; Metazoa; Chordata; Mammalia; Eulipotyphla; Soricidae. The record is from RefSeq and is a predicted model, not a curated record.
UAUACUCCCAUGUUCUGGGUUUUUGUUUGCCCUUGAGAGUUGUUAAGAUAAGUCAGAGGAGCUGGACAAGCCAUGCACCUCUGUGACAUGGAUCUUUCAUAUGCAAGGUUCAAGGCCAGAUCAGACACUGGAAAAUGUCCUUUCAUCCUUAAGGCUCAUAAAUGCAAGUCAAUUACCAGGUAAAAAGUCCUUAGACUAUCAUGCUGUGAUUAAGGCCAAACCUGCCAUUGGAGAGAAUACACACAGGAAAAAAUAAAUCAAAAUAAGCUUUCAGCUCUUUUAGCCAGGUAAGUAUUAAAGAAGAAACUUAAGAACUCAGUC